AGUGAACGCUGGCGGUAGGCCUAACACAUGCAAGUCGAACGGCAGCACAGUAAGAGCUUGCUCUUACGGGUGGCGAGUGGCGGACGGGUGAGGAAUACAUCGGAAUCUACUUUUUCGUGGGGGAUAUCGUAGGGAAACUUACGCUAAUACCGCAUACGACCUACGGGUGAAAGCAGGGGAUCUUCGGACCUUGCCCGAUUGAAUGAGCCGAUGUCGGAUUAGCUAGUUGGCGGGGUAAGGGCCCACCAAGGCGACGAUCCGUAGCUGGUCUGAGAGGAUGAUCAGCCACACUGGAACUGAGACACGGUCCAGACUCCUACGGGAGGCAGCAGUGGGGAAUAUUGGACAAUGGGCGCAAGCCUGAUCCAGCCAUACCGCGUGGGUGAAGAAGGUCUUCGGGUUGUAAAGCCCUUUUGUUGGGAAAGAAAAGCAGCAGGUGAAUACCCCGCUGUUCUGACGGUACCCAAAGAAUAAGCACCGGCUAACUUCGUG
This 492-nucleotide ribosomal RNA is filed under the name uncultured bacterium. Its description in RNAcentral is "partial 16S ribosomal RNA". It matches the Rfam family "Bacterial small subunit ribosomal RNA", at positions 29 to 507 of the family's 1533-position model. The record is from RNAcentral.